GAUGAACGCUGGCUACAGGCUUAACACAUGCAAGUCGAGGGGAAACGACGGGGAAGCUUGCUUCCCCGGGCGUCGACCGGCGCACGGGUGAGUAACGCGUAUCCAACCUGCCUCUGACUGAGGGAUAACCCGUCGAAAGUCGGCCUAAUACCUCAUGGCAUCGUCUGCGGGCAUCCAACGACGAUUAAAGAUUUCAUCGGUCAGGGAUGGGGAUGCGUCUGAUUAGCUUGUUGGCGGGGUAACGGCCCACCAAGGCUACGAUCAGUAGGGGUUCUGAGAGGAAGGUCCCCCACAUUUGGACUGAGACACGGUCCACACUCCUACGGGAGGCAGCAGUGAGGAAUAGUGGUCAAUGGGCGGGAGCCUGAACCAGCCAAGUAGCGUGCAGGAUGACGGCCCUAUGGGUUGUAAACUGCUUUUAUGCGGGGAUAAAGUGAGGGACGUGUCCUUCAUUGCAGGUACCGCAUGAAUAAGGACCGGCUAAUUCCGUG
Molecule: ribosomal RNA, 491 nt
Filed under: uncultured bacterium
Lineage: Bacteria
Description: partial 16S ribosomal RNA
Rfam family: Bacterial small subunit ribosomal RNA
Source: RNAcentral